GGAGCUUGCUCCACCGGAUCAGUGGCGAACGGGUGAGUAACACGUGAGCAAUCUGCCCCUGACUCUGGGAUAAGCGCUGGAAACGGCGUCUAAUACCGGAUACGAACUGCGAAGGCAUCUUCAGCAGUUGGAAAGAAUUUCGGUCAGGGAUGAGCUCGCGGCCUAUCAGCUUGUUGGUGAGGUAAUGGCUCACCAAGGCGUCGACGGGUAGCCGGCCUGAGAGGGUGACCGGCCACACUGGGACUGAGACACGGCCCAGACUCCUACGGGAGGCAGCAGUGGGGAAUAUUGCACAAUGGGCGCAAGCCUGAUGCAGCAACGCCGCGUGAGGGACGACGGCCUUCGGGUUGUAAACCUCUUUUAGCAGGGAAGAAGCGAAAGUGACGGUACCUGCAGAAAAAGCGCCGGCUAACUACGUGCCAGCAGCCGCGGUAAUACGUAGGGCGCAAGCGUUAUCCGGAAUUAUUGGGCGUAAAGAGCUCGUAGGCGGUUUGUCGCGUCUGCUGUGAAAUCCCGAGGCUCAACCUCGGGUCUGCAGUGGGUACGGGCAGACUAGAGUGCGGUAGGGGAGAUUGGAAUUCCUGGUGUAGCGGUGGAAUGCGCAGAUAUCAGGAGGAACACCGAUGGCGAAGGCAGAUCUCUGGGCCGUAACUGACGCUGAGGAGCGAAAGGGUGGGGAGCAAACAGGCUUAGAUACCCUGGUAGUCCACCCCGUAAACGUUGGGAACUAGUUGUGGGGUCCAUUCCACGGAUUCCGUGACGCAGCUAACGCAUUAAGUUCCCCGCCUGGGGAGUACGGCCGCAAGGCUAAAACUCAAAGGAAUUGACGGGGACCCGCACAAGCGGCGGAGCAUGCGGAUUAAUUCGAUGCAACGCGAAGAACCUUACCAAGGCUUGACAUAUACGAGAACGGGCCAGAAAUGGUCAACUCUUUGGACACUCGUAAACAGGUGGUGCAUGGUUGUCGUCAGCUCGUGUCGUGAGAUGUUGGGUUAAGUCCCGCAACGAGCGCAACCCUCGUUCUAUGUUGCCAGCACGUAAUGGUGGGAACUCAUGGGAUACUGCCGGGGUCAACUCGGAGGAAGGUGGGGAUGACGUCAAAUCAUCAUGCCCCUUAUGUCUUGGGCUUCACGCAUGCUACAAUGGCCGGUACAAAGGGCUGCAAUACCGUAAGGUGGAGCGAAUCCCAAAAAGCCGGUCCCAGUUCGGAUUGAGGUCUGCAACUCGACCUCAUGAAGUCGGAGUCGCUAGUAAUCGCAGAUCAGCAACGCUGCGGUGAAUACGUUCCCGGGUCUUGUACACACCGCCCGUCAAGUCAUGAAAGUCGGUAACACCUGAAGCCGGUGG
This 1347-nucleotide ribosomal RNA is filed under the name Microbacterium flavum. RNAcentral describes it as "bacterial SSU rRNA". It matches the Rfam family "Bacterial small subunit ribosomal RNA", at positions 75 to 1433 of the family's 1533-position model. The record is from RNAcentral. Lineage: Bacteria; Bacillati; Actinomycetota; Actinomycetes; Micrococcales; Microbacteriaceae.